GGGCUCAUAGCUCAGUUGGUUAGAGUACUUCCUUGACAUGGAAGGGGUCAGAGGUUCGAGUCCUCUUGGGCCCACCA
This 77-nucleotide transfer RNA is filed under the name Candidatus Omnitrophota bacterium. Its description in RNAcentral is "Candidatus Omnitrophica bacterium tRNA-Val". It matches the Rfam family "tRNA". Rfam says of the family: Transfer RNA (tRNA) molecules are approximately 80 nucleotides in length. RNAcentral also lists the same sequence under 1 other name. The record is from RNAcentral. Lineage: Bacteria; Pseudomonadati; Candidatus Omnitrophota.